This 468-nucleotide ribosomal RNA is filed under the name uncultured bacterium. RNAcentral's name for it is "partial 16S ribosomal RNA". It matches the Rfam family "Bacterial small subunit ribosomal RNA", at positions 28 to 507 of the family's 1533-position model. The record is from RNAcentral.
GACGAACGCUGGCGGCGUGCUUAACACAUGCAAGUCGAGCGGAAAGGCCCUGCUUUUGUGGGGUGCUCGAGUGGCGAACGGGUGAGUAACACGUGAGUGACCUGACCUUGACUUUGGGAUAACUUCAGGAAACUGGGGCUAAUACCGGAUAGGAGCUCCUGCUGCAUGGUGGGGGUUGGAAAGUUUCGGCGGUUGGGGAUGGACUCGCGGCUUAUCAGCUUGUUGGUGGGGUAGUGGCUUACCAAGGCUUUGACGGGUAGCCGGCCUGAGAGGGUGACCGGCCACAUUGGGACUGAGAUACGGCCCAGACUCCUACGGGAGGCAGCAGUGGGGAAUAUUGCACAAUGGGCGGAAGCCUGAUGCAGCAACGCCGCGUGCGGGAUGACGGCCUUCGGGUUGUAAACCGCUUUCGCCUGUGACGAAGCGUGAGUGACGGUAAUGGGUAAAGAAGCACCGGCUAACUACGUG